UAUUUGAUUUUGUUUUGGCAGAAUCUUAACCAGUGGAUUAGGUAUUCGGCCGAACCCCAAGAAUCUGGAUUCGGUGCAUCCCUAAUAGUUAUUGUAUGUUGGGAUCA
Etheostoma spectabile (orangethroat darter) is the source of this 107-nucleotide long non-coding RNA. RefSeq lists it as uncharacterized. The transcript has 4 exons. The record is from RefSeq and is a predicted model, not a curated record. NCBI's taxonomy places the organism in Eukaryota, Metazoa, Chordata, Actinopteri, Perciformes, Percidae.